GGAUCCAGACUUUGAUCAUGGCUCACCAUUAACGCUAGCUACAGGCUUAACACAUGCAAGUCGAGGGCCAGCGGGAUUGAAGCUUACUUCAAUUGCCGGCGACCGGCGCACGGGUGAGUAACGCGUAUCCAACCUUCCGUACACUCAGGGAUAGCCUUUCGAAAGAAAGAUUAAUACCUGAUGGUAUGAUGAGAUUGCAUGAUAGCAUCAUUAAAGAUUUAUCGGUGUACGAUGGGGAUGCGUUCCAUUAGGUAGUAGGCGGGGUAACGGCCCACCUAGCCGACGAUGGAUAGGGGUUCUGAGAGGAAGGUCCCCCACAUUGGAACUGAGACACGGUCCAAACUCCUACGGGAGGCAGCAGUGAGGAAUAUUGGUCAAUGGACGAGAGUCUGAACCAGCCAAGUAGCGUGAAGGAUGAAGGUCCUACGGAUUGUAAACUUCUUUUAUAAGGGAAUAAACCCUUCCACGUGUGGGAGCUUGUAUGUACCUUAUGAGUAAGCAUCGGCUAACUCCGUGCCAGCAGCCGCGGUAAUACGGAGGAUGCGAGCGUUAUCCGGAUUUAUUGGGUUUAAAGGGAGCGCAGACGGGUCGUUAAGUCAGCUGUGAAAGUUUGGGGCUCAACCUUAAAAUUGCAGUUGAUACUGGCGUCCUUGAGUGCGGUUGAGGUGUGCGGAAUUCGUGGUGUAGCGGUGAAAUGCUUAGAUAUCACGAAGAACUCCGAUUGCGAAGGCAGCACACUAAGCCGUAACUGACGUUCAUGCUCGAAAGUGUGGGUAUCAAACAGGAUUAGAUACCCUGGUAGUCCACACGGUAAACGAUGGAUACUCGCUGUUGGCGAUAUACUGUCAGCGGCUUAGCGAAAGCGUUAAGUAUCCCACCUGGGGAGUACGCCGGCAAC
This 898-nucleotide ribosomal RNA is filed under the name uncultured bacterium. RNAcentral describes it as "bacterial SSU rRNA". It matches the Rfam family "Bacterial small subunit ribosomal RNA", at positions 1 to 892 of the family's 1533-position model. The record is from RNAcentral. RNAcentral also lists the same sequence under 1 other name.